GGUUGGGUGGCUGAAGGUAGGUGGGGGGUUGUAAACCUCCUUAUGGGGGCUCUCCCCCCCAGCCA
This 65-nucleotide transfer RNA is filed under the name Phallusia fumigata. RNAcentral's name for it is "transfer RNA-Tyr". Lineage: Eukaryota; Metazoa; Chordata; Ascidiacea; Phlebobranchia; Ascidiidae. The record is from RNAcentral.